GUUUGCCUAGUGAGCCCCAAUGUGAGAACCUGGAUAUUUCUGUUCACACGCUUAUUUCAAAAUUCACAGCGCUUUUCAUUCACAGGAAGGCAGCUGCUUCUAAUCGGCCAUCUUGGCACCUGCCCUCCACAUCACGUUCUAUAAAAGGACGCCUGCUCUCCGGGAGUAAUGCCUAUAUAACUUUGCCUGAAACCAAUAGAACUCUCAUUACACUUAUCAUGGGCUCAUUUACUUCACUUCCAAUGAAUGUGGCCAUGGAAAUGCAAAUGGAUGAAGUGGUCCAUUCUCUUACGGAUGAGGUAGAAACAUGGUGUACCGACCAAUUAAUGACAUAUGUCUGAAAACUAGCAACUGAGAACCUUAGUCACCGUGUUUACAUUUCUAAUCAAGAAGAUGCUCAUCUAUGUACUCAACAAUCCAGGUUUCCUUGCAUCUGAGCUGCUGAAGCACUUCAAAAACAACAUCUCUUGUUUCCUAAAGAAGAUGAUGCCUGGACAAGCAGCACAAGUCAUUCAGGUUUAUUUUCGGUUCAUAAAUUCAGCACGACAUUUACACAAUUGUUAGGAAACCUUAUCAGAUAAUGAGUCCUGCAUGUUUCCUUUCAUUUCAGGAGGAAGAGGGUAAUUCAGUUGAGUUUCCUGAGCUACCCGGCUGCUGUGAUUCAACAACUACCAGGAAAUUUUGAUGAUGGUGCUCUCCUGAGCUCCUCCCUGUCCCAGGGAAGACAAAAUCAUUGAAACUGUGCAAAUAAAGUGUUACUUCGCUGGAAUGAGGUCUCAUGGCUGUUUAUGCGGUGGUUGGCUGCUCAGGACAGGUCAAGAAGAUACUGGUAUGUGUACUAAGGAAAACAGCUUCGUUUACAUGCAACCUGUUGUACAUGAGAAAGCAUUCUUACAUACAUUUCUUCAAAAAGAUUAUGGGACACCAACCAAAACAAGUAAGUGUUGCUUAAUUUCUAUUUAUAAAUCUAGGAUGAUCUCUGCAUUAUAGUAGGGAAAUCUUAAAAAACAACAUCACAUACUAAUGGUAAAAAGAUGAUGCGACAUGAAAAAGUAACAGCAUGAAUACCUCCAAUUGCUAUUUGUGAAUUGAAAAACUAAAUUUUAAAAAAAAUUAGCAGAUUGUGAAUGCAUUACUAAUGAUAAAUUCUGUAUUUUUUUUUUUUUUUUUUUUUCUGAGACAGAGUCUUACUCUGUCACCCAGGCUGGAAUGCACUGGCACAAUCUCAGCUCACUGCAACCUCUACCUCCCAGGUUCAAGCAAUUCUCCUACCUCAGCCUCCUGAGUAGCUGAGACUACAGUCAUACACCAACAGGCCUGGCUAAUUUUUGUAUUUUUAGUAGAAACAGGGUUUCAUCAUAUUGUUCAGGCUGGUCUCAAACUCCUGACAUCUGGUGAUCCACCCAUCUCGGCCUCCCAAAGUGCUGGGAUUACAGGCAUGAGCCACCAUGCCCAGCCAAAUUCUGCAAUUCAUACCCAUCUUUCUGAGACUACAUUAAAGUUUUUCUUCCUGAAUUGACGAUGUUUCUGUGGUCUUACAUAUCACCGCAGAGCAAUUUACAUCUAUGACUAUUACUUUCGUCUCACUAACUCCUCCUCCAGUCAAAAAAAAACAAAAAAUUGUUUUUAAGCUAUGGAAAUGAAGUGUUGCUUAGCUGGAGUGACGUUAUGUUGUGUUUCUGGGGUGACUUCCUGCUCAUGUUGGGGUGAGACUGUAGGCUGUGGGCUGUGUGCUGAGGAGGAAGUCUCUUGAUCUGGAGAGAACCCAUUGUCGGGGAGACCUCCACGGGGCUGAGGGGCCAUGAGCCUGCCCGGGUUUAGAGCACGGGGAGGGUGAAAUUCUGGGGUUGAAUCCUGGGAAUAUUUGAGAACUUCUUGCCUCAGGAGGGGAAGAUCCCUGGAGAAUAAAGACAAACUCUGGGUGUCUUGAGGGGCA
Piliocolobus tephrosceles (Ugandan red Colobus) is the source of this 1936-nucleotide long non-coding RNA. The record is from Ensembl. Lineage: Eukaryota; Metazoa; Chordata; Mammalia; Primates; Cercopithecidae.